UACGUAGGUGACCAGCGUUGUCCGGAUUUACUGGGCGUAAAGAGCGCGCAGGCGGUCGUUCAAGUCGAGUGUGAAAGCCCCCGGCUCAACUGGGGAGGGUCACUCGAUACUGAUCGACUUGAAGGCAGGAGAGGGAAGCGGAAUUCCCGGUGUAGUGGUGAAAUGCGCAGAUAUCAGGAGGAACACCGGUGGCGAAGGCGCCACUCUGGGCCGAAACUGACGCUGAGGAGCGAAAGCGUGGGUAGCAAACAGG
Molecule: ribosomal RNA, 253 nt
Filed under: uncultured bacterium
Lineage: Bacteria
Description: partial 16S ribosomal RNA
Rfam family: Bacterial small subunit ribosomal RNA
Source: RNAcentral